CAUUCUGUAUGAUUUAUAAGCUUAUGUACCUCAAUUUAGGUCCCCACUGUGACACAAGUCCCCAUGAGUCUAUGUGUAUUCAGGUUAAAGUCCCCACCAGUGAAGAAAAACAUGUAUACACACACUCACUCAUAAACACACACACCCCUGUUAUUUGUGCUGACUGGUUUUGUCUCCAUCAGCCGACAGCGCCGUCCAGCGGGACAGUAAACAGGUGCAGGUGGAUCUUCAGGAUCUUGGAUAUGAGACGAGCGGCCGCAGUGAGAAUGAAGCUGAGAGAGACGACGCCAGCAGCCCCGAGUUUGAUGAGUUGGAGACGUGCAUCUCUCUCUUGGAUUCGGGGAGCAGAUGCAGCGGUUGGCAUGGCAACAGCAAUGGUGUGCAGACAGACGACUCAUCCUCGCUGAAGUGUUUGGUGCAGGACCUGCGUGCGCAGCUCUCUCGCUGCCACAAAGUGAUCCGCAGCCUGCAGCUGCGAGUCCGCUCGCUCUCUACGACCUCCGACUAUGCCUCAAGCCUGGAGCGCACGCCACGCAAGGUCACGCGUCCUUGAUGUCAUUAUUAUUUAUCUGUUACUAACAUUGCAACCACCUCAUUUACAGACUCACAUCAGCUUGAUCAUAUUAUACUUUGAUAUGUUGCUCUAAAAUACUCGAUUGUGAUUGUCCAGUCAUUUUGUGAUCAAUAAUCUGCAACAACACCAAACUGUAUAGUGGAUUGUUGAAUUCCUACACAGCUGUGCUGAUGCCAUGUCUCUUAAAUCCCUCCGCACUCUUACUUUGGUCUCUCCCUCAGAUUAUUAGUUCACGUUCAUUCAUGUAUUCAUUUGAUAAAAAGCCUCAGGGAUGGUCUUGUGAAGAUGAACUCUGUGAACCCAUCAGGUGAACUGGGCGCUUCAGGUGAGUGCGGAUCACAGCGGUGUGGAUGAGGACGAGGGCUGGCAGUCCGACGGGCCGCUGAGACGCAGCCGCGAGCUGCAGGAGCUGGUGACCCGCGUGGCGCUGCUGGAGACCCAGAUCAAGAGCUCCAAGCUGGAGGGGAAGAGCGGUGCGGAGGACGGGAAAUGCGCCACCUGGCCUGGGUGAGGUGCUUUCUGCUGUACAGAUUGAGUCAAAGCAGCUUCACAGAAAUAAACAGGAAAAUAACAAUCA
Molecule: long non-coding RNA, 1151 nt
Organism: Cyprinus carpio (common carp)
Lineage: Eukaryota; Metazoa; Chordata; Actinopteri; Cypriniformes; Cyprinidae
Source: Ensembl